GACAGCGUCAAACGGAAGUGAGAGAUGUAUUCAUCUGGCAGCUUUUCGCUGAGUCGGGGCAAAGCUGGAACGUUUUAAGGCCAGUCAAAGAUGUGGUCAUCAGGAGAGGUCUUGUGUGUGGGAGUAAUCUCUACUUCCUCUGUCUUUCUUGUUUACCAGACAUUCCAUCUAUGUGAAGAAAGCUAUUGUCUGCACACCUGGCCAUCAAGCUAUGCUAUGCACACCUGGUCUUCAAGCCAUGAUCAGAACAUCUGGCCGUCAAGCUAUGAUCUGAACAUCUGGCUGUCAAGCUAUGAUCUGCACACCUGCUCCAUGAGUGACCCACCUGACUGUCUACACAGCUCCAGAGGUGACCAUGCUACUGUCUACCACCCACACAUUCCCAGAAAUGGCCUUCCCAUAGCAUGGCUGCAUAAGUGAACAUCUAACUGUCACCUUUCAGAGGUGACACACCCAACUGCAUCUUUAUAGCUGCUCGUCCAUUCAGUUUCCUGUCUUUACCAAUAUGGGUUCUCCACACUUCAUCAUUGUUUUAUCUGAAAGGGAUUUUUACAAUCAUGGAAGCCAUUCAAAAA
This 575-nucleotide long non-coding RNA is filed under the name Mus caroli (Ryukyu mouse). RNAcentral's name for it is "lncRNA (MGP_CAROLIEiJ_G0004342.1)". Lineage: Eukaryota; Metazoa; Chordata; Mammalia; Rodentia; Muridae. The record is from RNAcentral.